This 1654-nucleotide unclassified non-coding RNA is filed under the name Hevea brasiliensis (rubber tree). The record is from RNAcentral. Lineage: Eukaryota; Viridiplantae; Streptophyta; Magnoliopsida; Malpighiales; Euphorbiaceae.
UAUUUUCAACUAAAUUGAGAUUUGAACUCUCUCUUCUCCAAAGAGUUUAAGAUUAGAGCUCUCUUUUAACGAGCUCACAUUUUAGCAACAAUAGGUCAAAGAAAGAAUAGGCUUGUGACUCGAACCUAGGAAAGAGAUCAUAACAAUUCUUCUUUGAAAGGAAUGGGAAGUUAAUCCUACAAAACUGUAUCAUAAGCUUAAAAAGAAUUUUCAUACCAAUGGCCCUCUACCUCUAGUAAUAAGUCCACUAAAUAACAGUUGUCUAAUCCGUGGCAAGAAAGCAAUACAUUCUAUUUUUCUCCCCAAAAUGCAAAACUUUUUGAAUCUAUAUCCUAGCCAUGUGUUCAAGCAUUAUCACCUCAUUCUUUUUACUCGGUAUCAUUCUCUUCUGCCUUUGUAACGCCAACUUCAGCCGGCCGAAUAAUACGAUCAUACAAAGUGUAUCCUGCCUUUAGUACCGCUGCAACAGUGCCUGGAGGCUUAGAAGCAUCUGGUACCUGGAACACUGCAUUAUGUCUAUGUGGAUCGAAUGGCUCAUUUAUUGGAUCAAAGUUUUCUACUCCAAAUUUCCUAAAUACCUGAAAUCCCAAACAUCAUAAAGUUGUUUUGGCAAUAAAUUAACCCAUAAAUGUCCUCCCAAGCACCUCUAGUGCAAAAUUUAAACAAUAAUGAUACCAUGUAGCCGAGUUAUGAUUGAUGAAGUAAUAAAGGAUGUUUACCUCUGCCAGCUGUUUCUCAGUCAUUUCAACUCCUUCCAAAAGGGUCUUAAGAAGUGGAACUGCCCCAGCAGUGUCAGUAGAUGCAUCAAUUUUUGAAUAACUGUCUUUGACAACUGAUGAAGCUCUUCUCAAAUUGUCUGCAACAUCUAGUAGACUCUUUGCGAAAUUCUGUAUGGCAAACUUUUUAGAGUUCUCUGCUUCACGUUUUGUCCUUUCCAUGACAUUCUCCAUUUCUGCAUAAGUGCGAAGAACUUUAUCUUGCAUUUUUUCUAUCUCUUUGCGCUUCAACUUCAGAAGUUCUUCCUUUUCCGCCACAAGCUUCACCAAAUCAUCCAUUGACAGAUCACCUUCAGCUUCUGAAUCUGACUGUUUGGUCUCUCCAGGAGAUGGAUCUUCUACCUGAUCAGAAGGCUUUGCAUCUCCAUUUGGUUUUUCUGGUUCAACAUUUGAUGAAGCACCAUUAUUAUCGAAACUGCUCCCCUGUUCCUUUUCAUUGAGCUCAACGGAUGCUGAUGAAGAAAAUCCAAAUCGUUGAAAGGGAGAAGAACUAAAGGCUGAUUGAUGAAACAAAGACACCUGGCUUGCAACAAACUGGUUAGGAUAUUCAUGAACCAGAGAGUCAAUCCGAUUAGAGAAGAUUGGUGGAUGCUGCUUCUGCGAAGGAGAAAACAGAAGCAGAGAGCGUCGGCCCACGCCCCUCGAUACGCGUGACAAAACCACCCUGGACAUCAACAUAGCUGUAGAAGAUGAUGAAUUUGGAGAGGCAAAUGGGGAAUGUACAAAUUUCCAGAGAGUAAGAGGAAGAUUCGAGGGAAAGUGAAGGAAAAUAUAAACAGGGAAAGUGCGUGCUUGGAGCCCCUGGCCUGAAAGUAGAAGCCGCUGAAUUCUAGAAAUUUAUUUAUUUGAUGACCGUAUUGCCCUUGUCUUUUAGAAAA